GACGAACGCUGGCGGCGUGCUUAACACAUGCAAGUCGAACGGAAAGGCCCUGCUUUUGUGGGGUGCUCGAGUGGCGAACGGGUGAGUAACACGUGAGUAACCUGCCCUUGACUUUGGGAUAACUUCAGGAAACUGGGGCUAAUACCGGAUAGGAGCUCCUGCUGCAUGGUGGGGGUUGGAAAGUUUCGGCGGUUGGGGAUGGACUCGCGGCUUAUCAGCUUGUUGGUGGGGUAGUGGCUUACCAAGGCUUUGACGGGUAGCCGGCCUGAGAGGGUGACCGGCCACAUUGGGACUGAGAUGCGGCCCAGACUCCUACGGGAGGCAGCAGUGGGGAAUAUUGCACAAUGGGCGGAAGCCUGAUGCAGCAACGCCGCGGGCGGGAUGACGGCCUUCGGGUUGUAAACCGCUUUCGCCUGUGACGAAGCGUGAGUGACGGUAAUGGGUAAAGAAGCACCGGCUAACUACGUG
RNAcentral lists this ribosomal RNA (468 nucleotides) under uncultured bacterium. RNAcentral's name for it is "partial 16S ribosomal RNA". It matches the Rfam family "Bacterial small subunit ribosomal RNA", at positions 28 to 507 of the family's 1533-position model. The record is from RNAcentral.